This 1371-nucleotide ribosomal RNA is filed under the name uncultured bacterium. RNAcentral describes it as "bacterial SSU rRNA". It matches the Rfam family "Bacterial small subunit ribosomal RNA", at positions 28 to 1381 of the family's 1533-position model. The record is from RNAcentral.
AUUGAACGCUGGUGUGCGGCUCAACAUCAUGCUAGUCGAGCGGUAGCACAGGGGAGCUUGCUCCCUGGGUGACGAGCGGCGGACGGGUGAGUAAUGUCUGGGAAACUGCCUGAUGGAGGGGGAUAACUACUGGAAACGUGUAGCUAAUACCGCAUAACGUCGCGUGACCAAAGAGGGGGACCUUCUGGCCUCUUGCCAUCAUAUGUGCCCUCAUGGGAUUAGCUAGUAGGUGGGGUAAUGGCUCACCUAGGCGACUAUCCCUAGCUGGUCUGAGAGGAUGACCUCCCACUCUGGAACUGACACACGGCCCACACUCCUACCGGAGGCAGCAGAGGAGAAUAUUGCACUAUGGGCGCACGCCUGAUGCAGCCAUGCCGCGUGUGUGAAUAAGGCCUUCGGGUUGACAAGCACUUGCUCCUCGGAUGAAGGUGGAGAACUUCAUACGCUCAUCUGUUGGCGUUACUCCCCGAAGAAUCACCGGCUAAUUCCGUGUUCAGCAGCCGCGUCACUACGGAGGGUGCUUAGUGUUUAUCGGAAUUACUGCCCGAUAAGCCCCCGCACGCCUGACGCUCAUCCUUAUGUGAAAUCCCCGGGCUCAACCUGGGAACUGCAUUUGAAACUGGCAAGCUAGAGUCUCGUAGAGGGGGGUAGAAUUCCAGUGUGUAGCGGUGAAGUGCGUAGAGAUCUGGAGGAAUACCGGUGGUGAAGGCGGCCCCCUGGACGAAGAGUGACGCUCAGGUGCGAAAGCUGUGGGGAGCAAACAGGAUUAGAUACCCGUGGUAGUCCACGCUGUAAACAAUGUCGAUUUGGAGGUUGUGCCCUUGAGGCGUGGCUUCCGGAGCUAACGCGUUAAAUCGACCGCCUGGGGAGUACGGCCGCAAGGUUAAAACUCAAAUGAAUUGACGGGGGCCCGCACAAGCGGUGGAGCAUGUGGUUUAAUUCGAUGCAACGCGAAGAACCUUACGUCCUCUUGACAUCCAGAGAACUUAGCAGAGAUGCUUUGGUGCCUUCGGGAACUUUGAGACAGGUGCCGCAUGGCUGUAGUCAGCUCGUGUUGUGAAAUGUUGGGUUAAUUCCCGCAACGAGCGCAACCCUUAUCCUUUGUUGCCAGCGGUUCGGCCGGGAACUCAAAGGAGACUGCCAGUGAUAAACUGGAGGAAGGUGGGGACGACGUCAAGUCAUCAUGGCCCUUACGAGUAGGGCUACACAGCGUGCUUCAAUGGCAUAUACAAAGAGAAGCGACCUCGCGAGAGCAAGCGGGCCUCAUAAAGUAUGUCGUAGUCCGGAUUGGAGUCUGCAACUCGACUCCAUGAAGUCGGAAUCGCUAGUAAUCGUAGAUCAGAAUGAUACGGUGAAUACGUUCCCGGGCCU